UACGUAGGGGGCAAGCGUUUGUCCGGAUUUAUUGGGCGUAAAGAGCGUGUAGGCGCCACACAGGUCUGCUGUGAAAGACUCGAGGCUCAACCUCGAGCUGUCGGUGGAAACCGUGUGGCUAGAGUCCGGAAGAGGAGAGUGGAAUUCCCGGUGUAGCGGUGAAAUGCGCAGAUAUCGGGAAGAACACCCGUGGCGAAGGCAGGUCUCUGGGCCACUACUGACGCUGAGAAGCGAAAAGCAUGGGGAGCGAACAGG
Molecule: ribosomal RNA, 255 nt
Filed under: uncultured bacterium
Lineage: Bacteria
Description: partial 16S ribosomal RNA
Rfam family: Bacterial small subunit ribosomal RNA
Source: RNAcentral